AGUGCAAAGGAAGUAGAGGAUGGAAAGC
RNAcentral lists this non-coding RNA (28 nucleotides) under Cricetulus griseus (Chinese hamster). Lineage: Eukaryota; Metazoa; Chordata; Mammalia; Rodentia; Cricetidae. The record is from RNAcentral.